This is a transfer RNA of Schizopora paradoxa, 105 nucleotides long. It matches the Rfam family "tRNA". Rfam says of the family: Transfer RNA (tRNA) molecules are approximately 80 nucleotides in length. Their secondary structure includes four short double-helical elements and three loops (D, anti-codon, and T loops). NCBI's taxonomy places the organism in Eukaryota, Fungi, Basidiomycota, Agaricomycetes, Hymenochaetales, Schizoporaceae. The record is from Rfam.
GCUUCAAUAACUCAGUUGGUAGAGUGCAGGUCUCAUAUGUUCGUAUGAUGCUUCUUACGUAAGCAAACCAUCCUGAAGUCGCAAGUUCGAGCCUUGCUUGGAGCA